Molecule: ribosomal RNA, 367 nt
Filed under: Salmonella enterica subsp. enterica serovar Infantis
Lineage: Bacteria; Pseudomonadati; Pseudomonadota; Gammaproteobacteria; Enterobacterales; Enterobacteriaceae
Also listed under: 8 other names
Description: bacterial SSU rRNA
Rfam family: Bacterial small subunit ribosomal RNA
Source: RNAcentral
CUGCCAGUGAUAAACUGGAGGAAGGUGGGGAUGACGUCAAGUCAUCAUGGCCCUUACGACCAGGGCUACACACGUGCUACAAUGGCGCAUACAAAGAGAAGCGACCUCGCGAGAGCAAGCGGACCUCAUAAAGUGCGUCGUAGUCCGGAUUGGAGUCUGCAACUCGACUCCAUGAAGUCGGAAUCGCUAGUAAUCGUGGAUCAGAAUGCCACGGUGAAUACGUUCCCGGGCCUUGUACACACCGCCCGUCACACCAUGGGAGUGGGUUGCAAAAGAAGUAGGUAGCUUAACCUUCGGGAGGGCGCUUACCACUUUGUGAUUCAUGACUGGGGUGAAGUCGUAACAAGGUAACCGUAGGGGAACCUGC